AUUGAACGCUGGCGGCAGGCCUAACACAUGCAAGUCGAGCGGUAGCACAGAGAGCUUGCUCUCGGGUGACGAGCGGCGGACGGGUGAGUAAUGUCUGGGAAACUGCCUGAUGGAGGGGGAUAACUACUGGAAACGGUAGCUAAUAGCGCAUAAUGUCGCAAGACCAAAGUGGGGGACCUUCGGGCCUCAUGCCAUCAGAUGUGCCCAGAUGGGAUUAGCUAGUAGGUGGGGUAACGGCUCACCUAGGCGACGAUCCCUAGCUGGUCUGAGAGGAUGACCAGCCACACUGGACCUGAGACACGGUCCAGACUCCUACGGGAGUCAGCAGUGGGGAAUAUUGCACAAUGGGCGCAAGCCUGAUGCAGCCAUGCCGCGUGUGUGAAGAAGGCCUUCGGGUUGUAAAGCACUUUCAGCGGGGAGGAAGGCGUUAAGGUUAAUAACCUUGUCGAUUGACGUUACCCGCAGAAGAAGCACCGGCUAACUCCGUGCCAGCCGCCGCCGUAA
Molecule: ribosomal RNA, 504 nt
Filed under: uncultured bacterium
Lineage: Bacteria
Description: partial 16S ribosomal RNA
Rfam family: Bacterial small subunit ribosomal RNA
Source: RNAcentral